Molecule: ribosomal RNA, 591 nt
Filed under: uncultured fungus
Lineage: Eukaryota; Fungi
Description: eukaryotic LSU rRNA
Rfam family: 5.8S ribosomal RNA (bases 211-364)
Source: RNAcentral
AGUCGUAACAAGGUCUCCGUAGGUGAGCCUGCGGAGGGAUCAUUACACAAAUAUGAAGGCGGGCUGGAACCUCUCGGGGUUACAGCCUUGCUGAAUUAUUCACCCUUGUCUUUUGCGUACUUCUUGUUUCCUUGGUGGGUUCGCCCACCACUAGGACAAACAUAAACCUUUUGUAAUUGCAAUCAGCGUCAGUAACAAAUUAAUAAUUACAACUUUCAACAACGGAUCUCUUGGUUCUGGCAUCGAUGAAGAACGCAGCGAAAUGCGAUAAGUAGUGUGAAUUGCAGAAUUCAGUGAAUCAUCGAAUCUUUGAACGCACAUUGCGCCCUUUGGUAUUCCAAAGGGCAUGCCUGUUCGAGCGUCAUUUGUACCCUCAAGCUUUGCUUGGUGUUGGGCGUCUUGUCUCUAGCUUUGCUGGAGACUCGCCUUAAAGUAAUUGGCAGCCGGCCUACUGGUUUCGGAGCGCAGCACAAGUCGCACUCUCUAUCAGCAAAGGUCUAGCAUCCAUUAAGCCUUUUUUUUCAACUUUUGACCUCGGAUCAGGUAGGGAUACCCGCUGAACUUAAGCAUAUCAAUAGGAAGUAAAAGUCG